ACCUAAUCAUCUCUUUAAUCAUCAGAAAAAAAAAUCAGUAUUUUACAUUGUUAUUGUUUUCGUUGUUGCUAAUGGUGGUGUUUUUUUCCUUUCAUUACAGGUUAAGAAAUCUCUUAGGCCUUAUCCUUUUCUGACAGUUUUAGAGAUUUAAAAACAUCCCAAGAAUCCUUAUUUGUGCUGCAAAUAAUAAUUUCAAACUCAUUUGAUACUGACCUAUGAAAUCCUGUGACGUGACAUGACAUUUAUUAAUCUCAUGGAUGUAACAGUAAAACUCUUCAACUGACAGAUUAAGCUGCAAUGCAAGCAAAACUACUUCACAAAUGCUUAUAGGUCAUUUAAAUCAUUACAAAACACUAAUAAAUUAUUAAAGGAUUUGGUAACACUGUAAAAUAAUGUCUAAUUUGUUAACAUUAGUAAAUGCAUUGGUAACACGUUAUAAUAACUGCACUCAUUAGCUAAGCAUUAGUAAAUAGUCAGUUCAUGAUUAUAAAGCCUUUUCCCUUAAUAAUAGUCAUUAUUAAGCAGUAAUACAUCUAUAAAUAAAUUGUUCUUGGUUUAAAAGCACAUAUAUUACAAAGGAGAUUAAAGUCUCAGUUGUCUUAUAAAAUGAAUAAAUAAACACAACACAGUUUGAUGCAGAAUUCAGAAAUAUUUAUUUCAAGAUGCAAUAAAAGGAAACUGUACACUUGAAUAGGUUUUGAGAGAUUCUUGAAGGACUAGCAUCACCUCCUCUUGUACGACGGUUUGAGGAAUAUAUCUUCCAGAUUGUACCGCCGCUCCCUAUAUGCAGAGUACGCAGUCUUUGUAGGGCACCAACUCCCAGAGGGGGCACCAUCCCAGU
Carassius carassius (crucian carp) is the source of this 841-nucleotide long non-coding RNA. RefSeq lists it as uncharacterized. The record is from RefSeq and is a predicted model, not a curated record. Lineage: Eukaryota; Metazoa; Chordata; Actinopteri; Cypriniformes; Cyprinidae. The transcript has 2 exons.